AGAGUGGAGUGGCUGUCAGAGAUGCCUGAUGUUUUGGCCUAAGGACCAGUCAGUGAGGCAAUGGAGCAAGCAAGGGAUCACUUACACCUGAGAUGGACUACAGAACAGCACAUGCCCGAGGUGGAAGUUCAAGUCAAAUACAGAACAGCUGCACUGAGCAACCAAGAGUGUCAAUUGUACCUGAGGCAUUCUCAGCAGCAGCAAGUGCUUGUGGUGGAUUUCCAGGCCAAACUGAGACAGGUAUUCAUAACUGAGACACCAAGAUGUGGUAAAAAGCCGUACUGGAACAAUGAGGAAGCUGAAUCCAAGCAAAAUCCAGGCUCCAUCUACUGUUUGCUUCUGC
Molecule: long non-coding RNA, 343 nt
Filed under: Homo sapiens (human)
Lineage: Eukaryota; Metazoa; Chordata; Mammalia; Primates; Hominidae
Description: non-protein coding lnc-F9-3:2
Source: RNAcentral